RNAcentral lists this unclassified non-coding RNA (235 nucleotides) under Hevea brasiliensis (rubber tree). Lineage: Eukaryota; Viridiplantae; Streptophyta; Magnoliopsida; Malpighiales; Euphorbiaceae. The record is from RNAcentral.
AAGAAUCAUUUAGUUUGUAAUAAAUGAAAUUAGAAACUUAGCACUAGAUUGAUGUUAUUUUUAUGAUUCUUCCUAUCUUGGACAUCCACUUCUUUUCAUUUUAAGAGCUCUCCAAAUGGAAUUGUAGAGAUCAUGAUGAGCCUUCGCUGGUAGUUGUGAGAAGUCACUGUACUACACCUGUCUGAUCUGAUGGCAAUGGCAUUAUUAGGGUUUGACUUUGGGGCUGCGUUAGAUU